This is a long non-coding RNA of Lolium rigidum, 1645 nucleotides long. RefSeq lists it as uncharacterized. The transcript has 5 exons. NCBI's taxonomy places the organism in Eukaryota, Viridiplantae, Streptophyta, Magnoliopsida, Poales, Poaceae. The record is from RefSeq and is a predicted model, not a curated record.
UCUAAAAAAUCUAAACAUACGCGUUAGAUUUCAAUGUGCUUUCCGGUGUACUUAAUCAGAGUGUUAAACAUUUCCCCUUAUGGCUGAAACAUUUCGUUCUCAGUUUAGCAUGGCUACUCUGACCAUGAGAGGUAAAUGCUUACUGCAGUUUUGUAUGUCACUAUGUCUAUUCAGAAAAUGCACUUCUUUAGCUUCUUGUGUUGAGAAUGUAUUGAACAAAUCGCUGCAUAAUACUGGUAAUUUAUGCAGCCUACGGAAUUUCUCUUCUUACUAGCGAUUCACUUGAUGACUUUUAUACAGAAUUAUAAGAAGGGUUUAGUGUUCGUCCGGUCCACAGAAGAUGUAGAAAAGUAGGCAGCCCAUGGCGGCAUCAAAACCGGCUUGGUGGACGACUGGGAGCUACCACCGCUGACUGUUGCAGCACCAUGGCUUAGAGCCGUGCCACCUAGGAUUCACUAUGGUAUUCAAAUCUGGAGCGGAAAUCCACUGCGACGGUGAGGAUUCUUCGUUUCCAAGGAGGGGGAGAGGUGCUAUUCCCUGACAAGUGCUAGGUAAAUUUUUUCCCUCCUUCCAUUUGUUGAUCUGUAGAUCCACUCCAUCUUUCUUUUUGAAGGAAUGAGUAGGGAAGGAUUCCGUUGCAACCCAAUUGUUUGUUUCAGAGAAUGAUUGGUCUUUGUUACACUAGGAUUCCAUUGGAUAAUCUCAUGGCGUGGCUGAAGAAGAUGGCGAUCUUUGGCAUAGGUUGAUGGAACUGAGAGCCUAACCGCUAAGCUGACGAGACCUCUUCACUAAGCUCCAGACUGCAAAUUAGGAAUCAAAAGGAGGUACUUUACAGGUUACAAAAACUGAAGGUAGGCUGCAAAGUGGAUAUUAUGCUCUCCAUGGCUUUAGUUUUAUCAAGAAUGACAUCCAAUUUAUGUGCCGAGAUGCACUGAGAUAUAAAGGCUGGAGUGAUUUGGGAGAUACGAAUUGUUGUGUCCUUCAUCAAGUGAAAGGUAUUUCGCCUGUAGCUCAUGGUUUAAAUAGCAAUGUAUAUUUAGGAUUUUAUGUGGGGAUUGAUAUUGUGAUGCAAUUCAUGUGAUGAUCUCCUGCACUUUACUUCCAAAGCAAGGUGAAUUAAGACCAUGCUCCGAGAUUCGGUCACAGUAAUUAAAUCAGAAGCUUUGCGUGUUAACCCACUAUCAGUAACAUCAGAACAAGUUAUGUCAAUGGAUAAUAGUGAUUGCCUUUGCAAAGCAACAACUUCUAGCCAAGCAACCCCAUUAUAAUCCCCAAACAACUGUCCCGAUAGCAAAAUACAAUAGGCAAUGAGCUCUGUCUAAUAAUAUUGUAUACAAAAUAUUUUAUACGGUUUGAUAAGUUGUCUUCUAAUUUAUCAGUAUAUAGUUCAGUGUGAGAUGACCUCAAUAGAAGCUGGUGAAAAUUAUAUGUGCUUAACUAAUCAUUGCAUUCCAGUAGGGAAGAGCGAAUAUAAUUUAUCAGUAACUGUAAUUUUACAUAAAAGUAUUCAAUUUGAUGAAAACCGAGUACUACAUCCAUUUAGUAUAUGAAGGAGGGUACAUAUAUCUAAUUGAUAGUUGUAUUGUCGCGGCUGGUACACUUUGUGGUGAAGUCCUUUCAGUUCAAAUUGACCCUAAACUCUGAA